This 433-nucleotide ribosomal RNA is filed under the name uncultured bacterium. RNAcentral's name for it is "partial 16S ribosomal RNA". It matches the Rfam family "Bacterial small subunit ribosomal RNA", at positions 29 to 507 of the family's 1533-position model. The record is from RNAcentral.
AACGAACGCUGGCGGCAUGCCUAACACAUGCAAGUCGAACGAGACCUUCGGGUCUAGUGGCGCACGGGUGCGUAACGCGUGGGAACCUGCCCUUAGGUUCGGAAUAACUCCCCGAAAGGGGUGCUAAUACCGGAUAAUGUCUUCGGACCAAAGAUUUAUCGCCUUUGGAUGGGGCCGCGUUGGAUUAGCUAGUUGGUAGGGGAAAAGCCUACCAAGGCGACGAUCCAUAGCUGGUCUGAGAGGAUGAUCAGCCACACUGGGACUGAGACACGGCCCAGACUCCGACGGGAGGCAGCAGUGGGGAAUAUUGGACGAUGGGCGAAAGCCUGAUCCAGCAAUGCCGCGUGAGUGAUGAAGGCCUUAGGGUUGUAAAACUCUUUUACCCGGGAUGAUAAUGACAGUACCGGGUGAAUAAGCUCCGGCUAACUACGUG